GGGGGUGUAGCUCAAUUGGUAGAGCGCUUCGCUGGCAGCGAAGAGGUCGCAAGUUCAAUCCUUGUCUCCUCCACCA
Molecule: transfer RNA, 76 nt
Filed under: Vibrio alginolyticus
Lineage: Bacteria; Pseudomonadati; Pseudomonadota; Gammaproteobacteria; Vibrionales; Vibrionaceae
Also listed under: 2 other names
Description: tRNA-Ala
Rfam family: tRNA
About the family: Transfer RNA (tRNA) molecules are approximately 80 nucleotides in length.
Source: RNAcentral